This 1383-nucleotide long non-coding RNA is filed under the name Rosa chinensis. RNAcentral describes it as "sRNA RchiOBHm_Chr1g0336391". Lineage: Eukaryota; Viridiplantae; Streptophyta; Magnoliopsida; Rosales; Rosaceae. The record is from RNAcentral.
UUUUACUGUUUAAAGGUUUAACCUUGAAGGGAAUUAGUUAAUGAAUUGUGCUGUUUCAUGAUGGGCUCAUUAUGAUUUCAGUUCAUUGCGUUGGGUGUGGAUUACUGAUUGAGAAAAGAGUUUACGACUAUGAUGUUAUAAAGAAGUCUUGGAAGCAAGGUUGCCAAGAAUGAUUUGUAGUCCGCGUCACUGCGUGUUUGAGUUUAACCAGUACAACUUACUUGAGAAUGAUAAGGAUUAUUUCAAUGUUUUUCAUGACUGUGGUUUCUGAUAUGGCCUAUUUUUAAAAGGAUGUUCCUUGAAGAAAGAACUGCAAAAGACGAUUUGAAUUACUGAUCACAUUGGGAGGUUGGCACACUUUACACUAUUUUCACAGGUAAACAAUUUUAACUUUUGUUUUUUGAAUCCUACCACAAGUAUCGUUUUUCCCAUGGGCCACCUAUUAGCAAAAUUUGUACAUAAUACAUUCAUUAAGCUUCCAAAUUUUCGUAUAUAACUCUAAAAUUGGAAUGGGAGGAUUUAUAUAAAGAAAGCUAUGGAAGCAUGAAAGAUACGUAUCAUUUGUUGGGUUGACUAGGACCAGGCGCAAAACAUUAUUAAAUCUGUUCAAAUUUCUAUUAUUCAUGUUCAUGCCAAAUUAAUGCUCAAUAUUGGUGUUGUCUAAAAAAAUUUUAUGGCACGGUCUUGCUGUUUUGGAAGGUGUUGCUAUUGACUUUAACCCAAAUUACAAGGUUUUAGGUAGCACAUACCCAUGGAUUGCUAGGAAAAUACUGACCAACAACUCACCACAGCUCAAGUCUUUCCUGCAGGCCUUUUUUAUGAGAAUCUCUAAAUGAGCAGAUACCCCAGUCUUAUCAAGGUUGACCUUGAACCUUCAAUGGAAUAGAAGAUAAUGAAGGGAUUAAUAACAUUGACAUUAAUAACAGUGAACCAUUGCAUCUUUGCAUUUCGUUUUGUCUGAAUUAGCAUUGCUAUUAAUAACAAGCUUUUUCCAAUCUCUGAAUCUAGUUUGUGUUGUAGCUGUCGCACGUGUUUCUGCUUUUUUAGAACCCCUUGCCUCUUUUGUUUGCACGAAGUAUCUGUUGGCCCUUGUAAUGAAUUUGCUUAUAAGAAAAUGGUGAAAGGGUUAGCUUUGACCAAUCUCUUAAUGUAGUUUGUGUUGUAGCUGUUGCAAGUGUCUUUACUUUUUAUAACCCUCAUGCCCUUCUUGUUUUCAGAAGUUUAUGUUACCUCUUUGUAUAAUGAAAUUGCUUAGCAGUGUAUUUUGUUGCAUUCUCCUUCACAGUAAAUCAUAUUGCUUUAUGUUUUUCAUCUGCAGAAUGGUGUUGGGUGGACAAAACUCAGAAGUGCAGCAUCUCUCAAAUAGUUAGACUUCUAAUGUUC